Molecule: ribosomal RNA, 255 nt
Filed under: uncultured bacterium
Lineage: Bacteria
Description: partial 16S ribosomal RNA
Rfam family: Bacterial small subunit ribosomal RNA
Source: RNAcentral
UACGUAGGGUGCAAGCGUUAAUCGGAAUUACUGGGCGUAAAGCGUGCGCAGGCGGUUUUGUAAGUCUGUCGUGAAAGCCCCCGGGCUCAACCUGGGAAUUGCGAUGGAGACUGCAAGGCUUGAAUCUGGCAGAGGGGGGUAGAAUUCCACGUGUAGCAGUGAAAUGCGUAGAGAUGUGGAGGAACACCGAUGGCGAAGGCAGCCCCCUGGGUCAAGAUUGACGCUCAUGCACGAAAGCGUGGGGGAGCAAACAGG